CCAGACUCCUACGGGAGGCAGCAGUGGGGAAUAUUGCACAAUGGGGGGAACCCUGAUGCAGCGACGCCGCGUGAGUGAAGAAGUAUUUCGGUAUGUAAAGCUCUAUCAGCAGGGAAGAAAAUGACGGUACCUGACUAAGAAGCCCCGGCUAACUACGUGCCAGCAGCCGCGGUAAUACGUAGGGGGCAAGCGUUAUCCGGAUUUACUGGGUGUAAAGGGAGCGUAGACGGCAGAGCAAGUCUGAAGUGAAAGCCCGCGGCCCAACUGCGGGACUGCUCUUGGAACUGCGUGGCUAGAGUGCAGGAGGGGCAGGCGGAAUUCCUGGUGUAGCGGUGAAAUGCGUAGAUAUCAGGAGGAACACCGGUGGCGAAGGCGGCCUGCUGGACUGCAACUGACGUUGAGGCCCGAAAGCGUGGGGAGCAAACAGGAUUAGAUACCCUAGUA
RNAcentral lists this ribosomal RNA (444 nucleotides) under uncultured bacterium. RNAcentral describes it as "bacterial SSU rRNA". It matches the Rfam family "Bacterial small subunit ribosomal RNA", at positions 331 to 792 of the family's 1533-position model. The record is from RNAcentral.